GCCCGGUGCAGUGGCACGUGCCUGUAGUCCCAGCUACUCAGGAGGCUGAGGCUGGGGGAUCACUUGAGCCCAGGAGUUCUGGGCUGUAGUGCGAUAUGCUGAUCAGGUGUCCGCACUAAGUUCAGCAUCAAUAUGGUGACCUCCCUGGAGCAGGGGACCACCAGGGUGCCUAAGGAGGGGUGAACUAGCCCAGGUCAGAAACCGAGUAGGUCAAAACUCCUGUGCUGAUCAGUAGUGGGAUUGCACCUGUGAAUAGCCACUGCACUGCAGCCUGGGCAACAUAGUGAGACCCCAUCUCU
This 299-nucleotide signal recognition particle RNA is filed under the name Cebus imitator (Panamanian white-faced capuchin). RNAcentral's name for it is "Metazoan signal recognition particle RNA (ENSCCAG00000004501.1)". It matches the Rfam family "Metazoan signal recognition particle RNA". Rfam says of the family: The signal recognition particle (SRP) is a universally conserved ribonucleoprotein. It is involved in the co-translational targeting of proteins to membranes. Lineage: Eukaryota; Metazoa; Chordata; Mammalia; Primates; Cebidae. The record is from RNAcentral.